This 113-nucleotide non-coding RNA is filed under the name human gut metagenome. RNAcentral's name for it is "THF riboswitch". It matches the Rfam family "THF (Tetrahydrofolate) riboswitch aptamer". Rfam says of the family: THF riboswitch presents a pseudoknot that joins P1-P2 and the loop of P3 and two THF binding. The record is from RNAcentral.
CAGAGUAGGUGUUCGAGCGUUGACCGGAAAUCGGUCUGAAGUGUCAUCCGCACAGGGAGUUGGCGGAUGAACGAAGUGUAAGGAACCGCGGUUCGGACACCGCAUCCCGCUGU